Molecule: long non-coding RNA, 449 nt
Filed under: Homo sapiens (human)
Lineage: Eukaryota; Metazoa; Chordata; Mammalia; Primates; Hominidae
Description: HSALNT0324925
Source: RNAcentral
UGACUAUAUAAGUAACAACACUUGAAAAACAGCAGGUACAAAAAAGAAUCAUUUGACCUUCAUGCUGUUUCUUAAAAGCAAAAGAUGCAAUUCCCAUGUAAAAGACAAACUCCCUGAACUAGAAGGAAAAACAACACUCUUAUCUUCAAGGACCAGGAAUUAAAGCGAAGGAAAUACCGCACAGACCUUGUUAGAUUCCUGGAUACGUGUGCAGGCUGUGCAGAUUUGUUACAUAGGUAAACAUGUGCCAUGGUGGUUUGCUGCAUCUAUCAACCUGUCACCUAGGUAUUAAGCCCAGCAUGCAUUAGCUAUUUAUCCUGAUGCUCUCCCUCCCGCCGUACCUCCUCCACCCUUCAGGCCCCAGUGUGUGUUGUUCCCCUCCCUGUGUCCAUGUGUUCUAUAGCUGGGUCAUUUCUAAAUAAAAUACUGAAACAUGAAUUGUUAAACAG